CGCUGGCGGCGUGCUUAACACAUGCAAGUCGAACGAUGAAGCCCAGCUUGCUGGGUGGAUUAGUGGCGAACGGGUGAGUAACACGUGAGUAACCUGCCCUUGACUCUGGGAUAAGCGCUGGAAACGGCGUCUAAUACCGGAUACGACCUGCCCCGGCAUCGGGUGCGGGUGGAAAGUUUUUCGGUCAAGGACGGACUCGCGGCCUAUCAGCUAGUUGGUGAGGCAAUGGCUCACCAAGGCGACGACGGGUAGCCGGCCUGAGAGGGUGACCGGCCACACUGGGACUGAGACACGGCCCAGACUCCUACGGGAGGCAGCAGUGGGGAAUAUUGCACAAUGGGCGAAAGCCUGAUGCAGCAACGCCGCGUGGGGGAUGACGGCCUUCGGGUUGUAAACCUCUUUUAGUAGGGAAGAAGGGCUUCGGCUUGACGGUACCUGCAGAAAAAGCACCGGCUAACUACGUGCCAGCAGCCGCGGUAAUACGUAGGGUGCAAGCGUUGUCCGGAAUUAUUGGGCGUAAAGAGCUCGUAGGCGGUUUGUCGCGUCUGCUGUGAAAACCCGAGGCUCAACCUCGGGCCUGCAGUGGGUACGGGCAGACUAGAGUGCGGUAGGGGAGAAUGGAAUUCCUGGUGUAGCGGUGGAAUGCGCAGAUAUCAGGAGGAACACCGAUGGCGAAGGCAGUUCUCUGGGCCGUUACUGACGCUGAGGAGCGAAAGCGUGGGGAGCGAACAGGAUUAGAUACCCUGGUAGUCCACGCCGUAAACGUUGGGAACUAGAUGUGGGGACCUUUCCACGGUCUCCGUGUCGCAGCUAACGCAUUAAGUUCCCCGCCUGGGGAGUACGGCCGCAAGGCUAAAACUCAAAGGAAUUGACGGGGGCCCGCACAAGCGGCGGAGCAUGCGGAUUAAUUCGAUGCAACGCGAAGAACCUUACCAAGGCUUGACAUAUACCGGAAACUUCCAGAAAUGGUUGCCCCGCAAGGUCGGUAUACAGGUGGUGCAUGGUUGUCGUCAGCUCGUGUCGUGAGAUGUUGGGUUAAGUCCCGCAACGAGCGCAACCCUCGUUCUAUGUUGCCAGCACGUCAUGGUGGGAACUCAUAGGAGACUGCCGGGGUCAACUCGGAGGAAGGUGGGGAUGACGUCAAAUCAUCAUGCCCCUUAUGUCUUGGGCUUCACGCAUGCUACAAUGGCCGGUACAAAGGGCUGCGAUACCGUAAGGUGGAGCGAAUCCCAAAAAGCCGGUCUCAGUUCGGAUUGAGGUCUGCAACUCGACCUCAUGAAGUCGGAGUCGCUAGUAAUCGCAGAUCAGCAACGCUGCGGUGAAUACGUUCCCGGGCCU
RNAcentral lists this ribosomal RNA (1338 nucleotides) under uncultured bacterium. Its description in RNAcentral is "16S ribosomal RNA". It matches the Rfam family "Bacterial small subunit ribosomal RNA", at positions 34 to 1381 of the family's 1533-position model. The record is from RNAcentral.